GCCAGUGUGGCAUAGUGGUUUGAGGUUUGGACUGUGACUCUGGAGACCAGGCUUCAAAUCCUGGCUUAGCCA
Molecule: non-coding RNA, 72 nt
Organism: Phrynosoma platyrhinos (Desert horned lizard)
Lineage: Eukaryota; Metazoa; Chordata; Lepidosauria; Squamata; Phrynosomatidae
Source: the annotation of a GenBank genome assembly